RNAcentral lists this long non-coding RNA (387 nucleotides) under Falco tinnunculus (common kestrel). Its description in RNAcentral is "lncRNA (ENSFTIG00000015652.1)". Lineage: Eukaryota; Metazoa; Chordata; Aves; Falconiformes; Falconidae. The record is from RNAcentral.
CGAGCGGCGGGCAGGGGCUUCGCGGCGCCCGGGCUGAGCCCUCCUGGCCCGCGGCGCCUGUGCCGGCCGCGCCCCGCCGGCGGCCCGGGAACGGGCUUUGUCCGCGCUGGCGAGUUGAAAUGAGUGCUGUCUAGUGCCCUCUGCUCCCCAUCGUUGAAGAACAGAGUCUGCUGCACUGAACCUGCUCAGGGUGGAGAUGGUGGAAAGGCUAAAGUUCAAGUUCACAGACCCAAAAUGUGUAUGAAGAGAGGAGCAAGUCCGAGCAACUGUGUGCAACACAUCAUCCCCCAAUUGCCCAUAUGGCUGCAGGGAACCAUAGCAGCAGUAUUACACAGAGAAAGGCAAGACGAUGACGACGAUGCAUCCUCUGCUAAUGGAGCCUGCUGA